GACGAACGCUGGCGGCGUGCUUAACGCAUGCAAGUCGAACGGAAAGGCCCUGCUUUUGUGGGGUGCUCGAGUGGCGAACGGGUGAGUAACACGUGAGUAACCUGCCCUUGACUUUGGGAUAACUUCAGGAAACUGGGGCUAAUACCGGAUAGGAGCUCCUGCUGCAUGGUGGGGGUUGGAAAGUUUCGGCGGUUGGGGAUGGACUCGCGGCUUAUCAGCUUGUUGGUGGGGUAGUGGCUUACCAAGGCUUUGACGGGUAGCCGGCCUGAGAGGGUGACCGGCCACAUUGGGACUGAGAUACGGCCCAGACUCCUACGGGAGGCAGCAGUGGGGAAUAUUGCACAAUGGGCGGAAGCCUGAUGCAGCAACGCCGCGUGCGUGAUGACGGCCUUCGGGUUGUAAACCGCUUUCGCCUGUGACGAAGCGUGAGUGACGGUAAUGGGUAAAGAAGCACCGGCUAACUACGUG
RNAcentral lists this ribosomal RNA (468 nucleotides) under uncultured bacterium. Its description in RNAcentral is "partial 16S ribosomal RNA". It matches the Rfam family "Bacterial small subunit ribosomal RNA", at positions 28 to 507 of the family's 1533-position model. The record is from RNAcentral.